CUAAAAACAAAUCAUUAAGUAUUAUCUAAAGUCAAAUUGCACCAACUGUCUGACUGAGGCUGGUCCAAGUCUGGCCUUAUCAGCAUUCAGCACCACUGCCCCAGGAUGGAUGAGGAAACAGAACACCACUAAAGGGUAAGCCAGAGACAGAGGGCCCCUGUUCUUGUUUGUUCUGCAAAGCCCUUUAUGUUCUUCUGGAAGAUAGAAAAAGAUAUAUCUGACUGAGAAACAGAACUUUUCACUAUCUUUGAUCAACUGGCUAGAAGAUGUCUCUUUUUCUCUCACUUCUGCUCUUUGCAGGCACUGCAGGAACUCACAUCUCCUGGCAUUGGGAUUGGCAUGGUGUUCAAGGCUGCUCGUCUGCAGGCCAGUACUACCUUCCAGGCAUGUGAUGCAUGGAUAAAUAUGGGCUGUUUCACCAGAGAGACAGUACCCCAGACAUUGUUGAGAAGACCUUUCUGUGGAUGGAAGGCACCUGGCAGCUGGCUCUCGAGACUGCCAUCCACAGACCAGCCGGAGCACGUGCACAUACCUGCCUUCAGCCGGACCAACACCAGACGAGUCAUCUGGUGCCAAAGAAGGUUUCUUCAGGAUCAGAAUAACUAA
RNAcentral lists this long non-coding RNA (606 nucleotides) under Lepidothrix coronata (blue-crowned manakin). RNAcentral's name for it is "lncRNA (ENSLCOG00000000779.1)". Lineage: Eukaryota; Metazoa; Chordata; Aves; Passeriformes; Pipridae. The record is from RNAcentral.